This 528-nucleotide ribosomal RNA is filed under the name Pyropia sp. ROS125. RNAcentral's name for it is "SSU rRNA". It matches the Rfam family "Eukaryotic small subunit ribosomal RNA", at positions 37 to 565 of the family's 1831-position model. Lineage: Eukaryota; Rhodophyta; Bangiophyceae; Bangiales; Bangiaceae. The record is from RNAcentral.
UCAAAGAUUAAGCCAUGCAUGUCUAAGUAUAAACACCUUUAUACAAGUGAAACUGCGAAUGGCUCAUUAAAACAGUUAUAGUUCCAUUGAGAACACUACUACUUGGAUAACCGUAGUAAUUCUAGAGCUAAUACAUGCCUCAACGCCCGACUCACGAAGGGCGGUAUUUAUUGGAUAAAAAACCUUCGCACUCUUUUGGGUGUUUAGAGAUGAUUCACAAUAACUAGUCGGAUCGCAUGGCCUUGCGCUGGCGACUCCUCAUUCAAGUUUCUGCCCUAUCAACUUUCGAUGGUAGAGUAUUGGUCUACCAUGGUGUCGACGGGUGACGGGGAAUUAGGGUUCGAUUCCGGAGAGGGAGCCUGAGAAACGGCUACCACAUCCAAGGAAGGCAGCAGGCGCGCAAAUUACCCAAUCCCGACACGGGGAGGUAGUGACAAAAAAUAACAAUAGGGGGCCCUUUGGGUCUUCUAAUUGGAAUGAGAACAAUUUAAAUCCGUUAUCGAGGAUCCAUUGGAGGGCAAGUCUGGU